ACGAACGCUGGCGGCGUGCUUAACACAUGCAAGUCGCACGGAAAGGCCCUGCUUUUGUGGGGUGCUCGAGUGGCGAACGGGUGAGUAACACGUGAGUAACCUGCCCUUGACUUUGGGAUAACUUCAGGAAACUGGGGCUAAUACCGGAUAGGAGCUCCUGCUGCAUGGUGGGGGUUGGAAAGUUUCGGCGGUUGGGGAUGGACUCGCGGCUUAUCAGCUUGUUGGUGGGGUAGUGGCUUACCAAGGCUUUGACGGGUAGCCGGCCUGAGAGGGUGACCGGCAACAUGGGGACUGAGAUCCGGCCGGGCCCCCGAGGGGAGGAGGAGGGGGGAAAUUGGGAAAAAGGGGGGGAGGCCGGAGGCAGCACCCCGGGGGGGGGGGGGCGGGCCUUGGGUUUGUACCCCGUUUGCGCCGGGGAGGAAGGGGGGGGAAGGGAAGGGGAAAAAGAGGAACCGGCAAACAAGGUC
RNAcentral lists this ribosomal RNA (467 nucleotides) under uncultured bacterium. RNAcentral describes it as "partial 16S ribosomal RNA". The stretch from base 19 to 330 matches the Rfam family "Bacterial small subunit ribosomal RNA", at positions 47 to 358 of the family's 1533-position model. The record is from RNAcentral.